UGAGGAACAUGACUUUCGGCGGGGGAGUAGCCGGCCCAACGGCCGGGUAAUACCGCGUACGACCUCUCGGGGACAUCCCCGGUUGGUGAAAGCAGCAAUGCACCGAAAGAGUGCCUCGCGGCCUAUCAGCUAGUUGGUGGAGUAACGGCUCACCAAGGCGACGACGGGUAGCUGGUCUGAGAGGAUGGCCAGCCACAUUGGGACUGAGACACGGCCCAGACCUCCGUACGGGAGGCAGC
RNAcentral lists this ribosomal RNA (239 nucleotides) under uncultured bacterium. RNAcentral describes it as "partial 16S ribosomal RNA". It matches the Rfam family "Bacterial small subunit ribosomal RNA", at positions 118 to 352 of the family's 1533-position model. The record is from RNAcentral.